GCGCUUGUCGUAUAACUGGUAGUACGUCUAGCUGAUAACUGAAAACCCCGAGUUCAAAUCCCGGCGAACGCA
This 72-nucleotide transfer RNA is filed under the name Stegodyphus mimosarum. It matches the Rfam family "tRNA". From Rfam's summary of the family: Transfer RNA (tRNA) molecules are approximately 80 nucleotides in length. Their secondary structure includes four short double-helical elements and three loops (D, anti-codon, and T loops). Lineage: Eukaryota; Metazoa; Arthropoda; Arachnida; Araneae; Eresidae. The record is from Rfam by way of RNAcentral.